UGCACCGAGGGGGCUCUGCCCCAAGUAACGUGUCCACGCGGCUCCCCAGACCGCCGUUUCUCGGGCGCCUCCGUCCCUCCGUCCCGCCCUCCCCCCCGCAAGUGCCCAGGCCGCGGCGCCCGCUUCCUUCGCCGUCCGCUCCCGGACCCGCGCGGGGUCCCGGCCGAACCUUGCCGGAACCCGAGCCGCCAGCGGCCGGGAGGAGACCUUGAGAGGUCACCAAGUUGGUGUAGGCCGACGGGCUAGCCAAGUGUCCUGCGUCCUUCCUUCAGUGCCUUCCCACCCGGGACCGGUAGUGAGCCGGGAGCCUCACGGUGACUAAGGAUGCUCGGGGAAGAUACACACUAGCCAAAUGUCGUCUGACCCCACCUGACCUGACCUUCUGAAUGCCUUCUCACCAGCGGGUCUCUAACAGGUGGAAUAAACCGGUCCUUCUUGGGACUUGGGGUCUUCAUCAAUUUGAAAAUGAGGUCAAGCUUAAUCCGUUUAUGCUGUUAUGACAAAGUACCUGUGACUUGGGGUCGCGACCCACAGAUUGAGAACCACUGCUGUAUUGCACCUCUGAGGAUCAAGCCUUUAACAAAAUGGACCUUUCUUUGGGAAAUACUCAAGAUCCAGUGGCCCAGACCUUAGGAUGCAUCUCAAUUUCAAAUCUCUGGUAGUCAGUUGUACCAAAUUCCUUCUCCAAAACCAAAGAUAAUAGACCAAAGAGAUGCUCUUCAGGGCCGUGUGGAAUGACAGCUGCAACAGGAGGCUGACAUUGAACUGCUCCCUUCCACCCUGUCCCUCCUGUCAAACACCUCACUUACUAGUCGGGAAACCCUGCUGGAAUGAGACGCUGCUUUUCUUGUUGGACCCAAGUGGCUGCAGAAGAAGGCAAACUGGAUUCGUAACAUCUAUUUUUUUUUUUUUUUUUUUAAUGAUUGGGACUCCAGGAAUGCUGGUGAGAUGACUCAUUAGGUAAAGGCACUUGCCUCCAAACCUGGUACCCGAAGUCAAUCCUUAGGACCCAUAUGGUGGGAGGAAAGAACCAAAUCCCACAAGUUGUCCUCUCAUCCCCAUGGAAUGCUGUGGCACAGGAACACAGAUACAUAGGAAUUAAUUAAUGUAAUUAAAAAAUGACUCUAGGAGAUCAUCAAAUAUAUA
This is a long non-coding RNA of Peromyscus eremicus (cactus mouse), 1146 nucleotides long. RefSeq lists it as uncharacterized. The record is from RefSeq and is a predicted model, not a curated record. Lineage: Eukaryota; Metazoa; Chordata; Mammalia; Rodentia; Cricetidae. The transcript has 3 exons.